CCUACGGGUGGCAGCAGUGAGGAAUAUUGGUCAAUGGGCGCAGGCCUGAACCAGCCAAGUCGCGUGAGGGAAGACUGCCCUAUGGGUUGUAAACCUCUUUUAUAAGGGAAGAAUAAUGACUACGUGUAGUCAGAUGCCCGUACCUUAUGAAUAAGCAUCGGCUAACUCCGUGCCAGCAGCCGCGGUAAUACGGAGGAUCCGAGCGUUAUCCGGAUUCAUUGGGUUUAAAGGGUGCGUAGGUUGUUUUAUAAGUUAGCGGUGAAAUACCGAUGCUCAACAUCGGGGCUGCCGCUGAUACUGUAGGACUAGAGAUCGGAUGCAGCAGGCGGAAUGUGUAGUGUAGCGGUGAAAUGCAUAGAUAUUACACAGAACACCGAUUGCGAAGGCAGCUUGCUAGGCCGGAUCUGACACUGAUGCACGAAAGCGUGGGGAUCGAACAGGAUUAGAUACCCUAGUAGUC
RNAcentral lists this ribosomal RNA (460 nucleotides) under uncultured bacterium. Its description in RNAcentral is "partial 16S ribosomal RNA". It matches the Rfam family "Bacterial small subunit ribosomal RNA", at positions 338 to 795 of the family's 1533-position model. The record is from RNAcentral.